UGCCUUGUAUAGCACUUUUUAACUUGUUAAGAAAAAGUGCUUUACAAAUACAUACAUUAUUAUAAUUGUAUAAAUUAGCUGUGCUAUAUCAGGUAACUGCAGACUGGUUGGGAAUCAUCAAGAUGACUAUUUUACAUGUAGAAAAAUGAAUAUUUUCACCAAAGACUGCUGGUGUUGCAGAGAUGUUUGAGUUUUUGGAUUUUUAUGCAUUUAUAGUCCAUUACUGGUCUUUUUCAGCAUCAGAUCCUGCUUUUUUUUAAGUUCAUCUCUAAGCUGCAGGAGAGGCUGAAGACCACAGCAAAUGACAGAGGUGAUGUUGAAAAUGUCCACACCAGUCCACAUGGGGGCUUCAGUGAGCCGUCAGAUCUUUCAUCAACCAGUUACUGAGGCCUGAAGGAAAAAAAAAAAAAUCAGCCAACAUGGUAAUAUGCACAGGAGAGGAAUGACUUAUUAUCUUCUGCCACUUGAGGGAGCGUCGGCUGCAGGAAUCUCCUCGUAGCAACAGUGAGGGAAGAACUGAUUUCAGCCAUUAGCGGGGUCAGGUGACUAAUUGCGGUAACUCAGUGCACCUGGGACCAGUGUACUGACGUAACUUAAGCCACAGCAGCUGUAGUCUCUCUCUGCCUUUCCCCCCCUACAGGCACCCGUUCUGGUUUGGUUUAGUUAUGUUGCCUUUUACUAUAUACACCCACGCACACCAUACACCACUGACGCUACUGAUAUCUACACCCCAUGCUUUAAUUAUAUAUAGUUACUUCAUUAAUUUGGCUUAAUUUGGUUUAAUAAAGCUUAUUUUGUUAAAUGUU
Thunnus maccoyii (southern bluefin tuna) is the source of this 806-nucleotide long non-coding RNA. RefSeq lists it as uncharacterized. The transcript is spliced from 2 exons. NCBI's taxonomy places the organism in Eukaryota, Metazoa, Chordata, Actinopteri, Scombriformes, Scombridae. The record is from RefSeq and is a predicted model, not a curated record.